Coffea arabica (coffee) is the source of this 2267-nucleotide non-coding RNA. The record is from RefSeq and is a predicted model, not a curated record. NCBI's taxonomy places the organism in Eukaryota, Viridiplantae, Streptophyta, Magnoliopsida, Gentianales, Rubiaceae.
UCCCAUCAAGGGCAUCAGGGCCAGACACCCAUGCGAUGUCGGCACAUUUCCUUCCAUUGGCAUAGCUAAGUAUUGAUUAUUCACAAAAAGAAAACCCAUUCCACCGUUUGCCAUUUUUGUUAUGCACAACCUCCUUAUACCUCGUUCUCCUCCUGCAAACAUUCACCUCACAAAAAUUCAAUUUCUGCUCUGAACGAUAAGAGGCAACAACAGUGCGCCUGCCAAAGUAUGAAGUGCUGAAGCAGUCAAAGUUAGAUUCGCCUCAGUUUGGCAUCUGGGUUUCCAUCAGUGCGCCGGUUUCAAUGGUGAAGCAGUGCAUGCUGAAAUAAGAUUUCCUGAUUUGGAGCUUGCUUAAGGCCAAAUUCAAUGCUAUUAACUGACCGUUGGCAGCUAAUUUAGAGGGUGUUAUCUUUUCCUGUCCGAAUUUGGAAAACAAUUUGCAAUUCAGGUACUGGUCUGAGGUCUGGCUCAGCAUGACCUGCUGUUGAAGGUAGAGCACUAGUAAAUACCCAACAAGCGGAGGAGAUCACUGUCCGGUCCUACUACUCCACCCCGUCUUUCCGAAGCUUCAUCCGUCCACUCCGUCACAGACUCGAACGACUACAUCCAGUCCCUUGUCAACUACUUUAGAAUGCCACGAGACCACACCAUUGCAAAGGCACAUUGAGAUGAAAACAUGGAAAUACACUUCUGUAUGACAUAUGUCGAAUGGAAAAAGAGUGGGGAGUGGAAUCCAAACAUUGCAUCAGAUGCCAAUUGGAUGAAACUUGCUUCCCACCUAAAUUUGACCUGGGGAAAGCAACAUAGUUGGACAGUGUACCAUUCUAAAUUCUUGAACAAGAUUUGGAGUGCCUUUGCCAAGUUAAAGAGUCUGUGACAAACGUUCGAAACUGGUAUUGGUUGGGAACAAGAAUAGGAGAUGCUUCUUGGCUGAAGAUUCUCAAUGGAACAAUUUGCAAAUAGUAACAUCUCAAAUAACUUAAAUUCAGUUCCAGUCAUGUAACUUGCUAUGGCAGUAUUUCGUCUUACCAUGUACUGUGGAAUAUUCCUGUUUCUUUAACCUGUAACGUAUAAUUACUACUGCAUGAACCAUUACUUGUUUAUUUGUCUUUGGCCUUAGCAUCUUAUAGCAUGAACAUUAGUUAUAGUUGGACAGUUAGGGAAGUUUUGAAAUAUCCAUCAGCACCUAAUCUGUCUCUUGUUAUCAAAGAUGACCCAUUUACAAUAUUAUAAGGUAACAGCAAAUGUGCAAAUCAAGUAGAAGGAAUUGUUCAAAGUAUUUUACUUCCGGGGCCUAUACAGUGCAUAACUGAAUACACUUGGCCAUAAAAUAUCCCCCGUGGGCUUUUGGGUUAUAUUUGUCCUCGCACUUAAUAUUUUGUCAUUGUGAAUGAUGACAUAUUUCACCUUCCUUGUUGUCGCUUUCCAACAGGAGAACCAAGAUUAUAGGAACUUUAGAUAUUUCCAAUGUAUCGACAAAUAUGCUAUCCUGUUUGAGGUCUUAGAAGGAGAAACCGCUACAGGGAAUCAGGCUCAAGCUUCUUCGGUACCGCCUUCAAUUUUGAAUCCACGCAAGCGAGCUGGACAUACUGGUGGGCAGAUUUUCUCUUCACAAUUUGGUGAUGAAGUGUACAACGCAGGCCAAGAUGUCGACUUCAACAAAGAAGCUCCAAGUGUAGGAGUUAAGUGAGCAUCAAGCAGUCAGGGGGCACGACUUCGCUCCCAACUGGAUCUCAUGGAAGCAAGUCAAGUAGAAGUACAAACAAUCCUUUCGCCGAAUGUGCCCACUCGCUCUCCACCCUAGCAAAUUCAAAACUACAGAUCAAAGGUCGCAGAGAAUCUGAAAAAGAGAAAUUUGAUGUGACUAUGGCAGCUCAGGUCGUGGAAUCGUUCGAAUCGGUGCACAAAGGGAGGAAGCUCACUGCUGUUUUACAACUCCAGGAAGACAAGUGACGGAAGAUUUUCCUGAGUCUCACUCGCGAUCUUCAAGAGUAUUGGUUGAAUUUUUUGGAGAUUGCCUCUCAGAUGGGGCCAGAUGAAAGGUAGGUGAGACUUCAGAUUUUAGUGGCUGUGCAUGACAACUACAGGCAGACAAACUGCUCGGCCUUUAAAUAUUUGAGUGAAAGUGCUGUUUGUAUUUUGGCAUAGCUGAGUUGGGAUUUUCGGCCUGUCAUUAAAUGUAUUUCCUUCAAAAAACUUGUUUGGAUAAUUAUGAAAUGUUGAGUUUCUUAUUCCGCAUUCCUUGAAAUAACUUCACCUAUGCAAUU